Molecule: transfer RNA, 72 nt
Filed under: Loxodonta africana (African savanna elephant)
Lineage: Eukaryota; Metazoa; Chordata; Mammalia; Proboscidea; Elephantidae
Rfam family: tRNA
About the family: Transfer RNA (tRNA) molecules are approximately 80 nucleotides in length. Their secondary structure includes four short double-helical elements and three loops (D, anti-codon, and T loops). Further hydrogen bonds mediate the characteristic L-shaped molecular structure. tRNAs have two regions of fundamental functional importance: the anti-codon, which is responsible for specific mRNA codon recognition, and the 3' end, to which the tRNAs corresponding amino acid is attached (by aminoacyl-tRNA synthetases). tRNAs cope with the degeneracy of the genetic code in two manners: having more than one tRNA (with a specific anti-codon) for a particular amino acid; and 'wobble' base-pairing, i.e. permitting non-standard base-pairing at the 3rd anti-codon position.
Source: Rfam by way of RNAcentral
ACAGUGGUGGUUCAGAGUUAGAAUUCUCACCUUUCCAUGCAGGAGAUCUGGGUUUGAUUCCCAACCAAUGUA